This 670-nucleotide ribosomal RNA is filed under the name uncultured bacterium. RNAcentral's name for it is "bacterial SSU rRNA". It matches the Rfam family "Bacterial small subunit ribosomal RNA", at positions 75 to 764 of the family's 1533-position model. The record is from RNAcentral.
GUCCAAGAGAGAUAUGGAAAGCGGCGGACGGGUGCGUAACGCGUAGGUAAUCUGCCCAUAUCAUCGGGAUAACACAACGAAAGAUGUGCUAAUACCGAAUAACAUACAAGUGCGGCAUCGCAAAUGUAUCAAAGUCAAAGCGGAUAUGGAUGAGCCUGCGUCUGAUUAGCUAGUUGGUAGGGUAAAGGCCUACCAAGGCAACGAUCAGUAGCCGACCUGAGAGGGUGAUCGGCCACACUGGAACUGAGACACGGUCCAGACCCCUACGGGAGGCGGCAGUGGGGAAUAUUGCACAAUGGGCGCAAGCCUGAUGCAGCAACGCCGCGUGAACGAAGAAGGCCUUCGGGUCGUAAAGUUCUGUCGCAUGGGAAGAUAAUGACGGUACCAUGUGAGAAAGCCCCGGCUAACUACGUGCCAGCAGCCGCGGUAAUACGUAGGGGGCAAGCGUUAUCCGGAAUUACUGGGCGUAAAGGGUGCGUAGGUGGUCUGACAAGUCAGAGGUGAAAGGCAACGGCUCAACCGUUGUGAGCCUUUGAAACUGUUGGACUUGAGUUCUGGAGGGGAAGUCGGAAUUCCUAGUGUAGCGGUGAAAUGCGUAGAUAUUAGGAGGAACACCGGUGGCGAAGGCGGACUUCUGGACAGAUACUGACACUGAGGCACGAAAGCGUGG